Egretta garzetta (little egret) is the source of this 2922-nucleotide long non-coding RNA. RefSeq lists it as uncharacterized. The transcript is spliced from 3 exons. Lineage: Eukaryota; Metazoa; Chordata; Aves; Pelecaniformes; Ardeidae. The record is from RefSeq and is a predicted model, not a curated record.
UGAUUCUAUAAAUCUCAUGAGACAAAUCAAAGUGUCUGGUCUGCAAAGCAUACGUUGGACUCUGUGGUGGUUAGGCAGUCAAGAAGUAAAUGUUUCAGGCAAGCUGUUUGUAUUACAACCUCUGAUUUUACAAGAAGUUAGUGCUGUAAAUGGACAUGAUACACAAAGCUGUCCCUAAGGCUGUAUUUUAGUCUCAAGUUACUCCUUAGGGCAAAAUUGUAAUAGAACUAUGCCUGAGAGUGAAAUUGUCAUUCAGAUACAUUUUCUGGGAUAUAACUUAAAAUUAUUGCUCUCACCCACCUUGAUGAAUGAGCAAUAUGAGGAAUACAGUUCUAGAGCUCAUAAAAUGGUAUCUCUGUGCUGUGUCAUUUCUUCUGGUAGACGAGAGGAGUGAGCCAGCACAGGUUUAUUCUGUACGGGGUUUGUCUAUUACUGCCGCUUUUUAGUUUUGUUCUUUGGUAUCGUGGUUUAACCCGGCUGGCAACUAAGCACCACUUACCAGUUUAGAUUUCUCUGUCUCAUUCUUAUCUACAAGAGAGGGUAAUUUUUUAUUGUUUGUUUUCUAUCAACAGUUUUUGUUUAAUACCCCAACACAGUGGAAAAGCUGGGACUAAAAUUAGAGGCUUGUGUUUCGGCACUAAAACAAAUAUAUCUAUAAGAUGACUGUUACCCUAGCUGCAGCCAAAGAAAAGGCACGGAAAAAAUAUGGAAAGUUUUGUGUCCUGGCUGGGUGUGUUCUCUGCUUUCAGAAAGACCAUAAUCAAUCUCUCAGCUGGUAUUUCUCUGUCCUGGAGAACAGAUUUACUAGUAGUGGGAAGGAAUUUUUUAGUAAAACCUGGAAUACGAUACCGUAUAAUCGUUCUUUGAUAAUAUACACUUCUAUUAGCGUCAGUCAUCAUCUUGCUCACCCAUGUGAGACACAUGACAAGAGAAAUUCCUAGAGGUACCAAAAAAGAUGCAGGUUAUUAUAGCGAGGUCUGGAAUGUAUUUGCUGAAACGAAGGCAGCCCAAAUCAGAUUACCAGUCUGCUCCUGUACAAAUAUUGGAAUGAUGACUGUGAAUCUUUACUACUCAGCUGCCAUUUUGUGAAGUGUUUCUUUGUCAAAUCUGAAAAGGUGCCCACCGUCUCCAGUUGAGACAUCUGAAGCUCCGCGGUUUCUAUAAUACUCUACAGAUGGUUGUUCCCGAUAAUUACAAGGAACUGUAGCCACAGCUCUGUAUUAAUAAUUUAUAGUAAAGCUGCUAUGCAAUGGCUUUAAAAAAGCAAAUCAAAUCUACAUUAUGCCAUGCUUGUGAGUCCUCAUUUUAAACAUACGUGCCUGACUUGAUCUCUUUAAGACUUCAGACCCAACACACAAACCUGUUAAAGAAUGAAAAAUGACCAUAAGUAUAGAGGAAAAGUUGCAUUGCAAGACAUGGUUUUAUUAGUUUUAGUGAAACCCUUUGAAAUGCCUCUCAAAUAUAUCAUUAAGUCACUUAAACUUAAAAGCUUGACCUGAAAGUUCAAUAUAGUUUCUUUCAUAAUGCAGGAAUAUAAUAAAAGGAAGAACGUAUACUGUAAUUUUUAUAUGAUAUAAGUUACAUAUUUUUGAAAAAUCCAAUGUCUUAAAGAACUGGGUUACAUGAUUAUUUUUAUAAUACAGAAAUACUUUAAUGCAUUUUUUAUUUAUGAUUGAUUGUAUUCUUUAUCUAGAAAUUUGGAACUUGUUGAUAUUAAUUUUUGUUUACGUAAACCUGAUUGUAAUACUUGAUUUUGUGAUAUCCUUGUGAAGCACCUGAAAAUAAAGGGUGAGGAGAUACUUUUUAAAAAUUAAGUUUAACUUUUCUAUGUUGUCUCAUCUGUAGGGCAAGUUGUCCAUUCCUUUUCUCUAUAAGCACAUUUUAAAAGCUAAUUUGCAAACAUGACAAGUCACACCUGUUUCACUCAUGUUGGGGGAAAAAACUUCGCCCCUGAAGUACUGAAACAUACAUUCCUGGACGAAGUCACCGAAGUAACACGCAGGGCAUAUUAAUGUUCAGCAUUCAGUUGUUUGUGUGUCUUAAAUUUUGAGAAGUGCUUUGAUUUUCUUUUCUUGGUAGUUUCUUCUAAAGAAUGCUGUAGCUCAGAACUUGGAAAAAAGAAGGCUUUUAUCCAUACUGGAGGAAUGACACAUAUCGUUAAAAGGAGGAGGCAGACAGCAAAUACAAUUACCUCAGUAGGGCUCCCUGAUGAUCUUCCAGCAGUCCUAAAUAUCAGUAUUUGAGAAAUACGUAGCUUGCUUUCUGUUUGCGCCUCCCUUGGAACCUCUGCGGCACAACGGUAGUAGAAAGAGCGUUCUCCAAAGCCAUCUUGAAGCAGAUCUGAAAUUAAGAUUAAAGCUAAUGAGCAGCUGACCAGCUUCCAUCAAUAAUUUUGCCCCAGGUAAAGGUGUUGUGUGUAUCACACAACCUGAAGUACCGGCAUUCAGCAGCUGUGAGCUGGAACCAGAGGGGAAAUCCCUGUUAACUGGAAGCACAAAGCAUGUGUAUGAACUGGUACGUCUUACUUCUGUGUUACAUCUGAAGAAGGAUCACGCAAUUUUUUUUACUGAGGUAUAUGUUAUUUUCUCUGUCCUGUGUGUGUGAUUCUGGGAUCUCUUGUAAAGCAAUUUCUGCCAAGGCUAAGAAUCAGUCUCAUCCUCUGCUGUAAAAUGAAGUGCUCUUGGGCUUUCAGCCAAAGCAAUAUUCGUUCAAGAAUUUGCUAGGCAUUGUUUUUUACAGAUUGUUAUAGAUGUUUCCGGAAAAAGUUUGUUUUGCUAGGCAUUUUAGGAAGAAACCGAAAACAAUAGAUGGAGCAUUGUAAUACCACUGCACAAAUCUUAAUUAUGCCUACAUUUUGACUAGUGAAUGUAAUUUUGAGCCCCCAUCUCAGCAAGCAAUGUAGUAUAUUGAGAAUUUCGGGGU